RNAcentral lists this ribosomal RNA (421 nucleotides) under uncultured archaeon. RNAcentral describes it as "bacterial SSU rRNA". It matches the Rfam family "Archaeal small subunit ribosomal RNA", at positions 932 to 1351 of the family's 1478-position model. The record is from RNAcentral.
GGGGGCGACAGCAGAGUGAAGGUCAAGCUGAAGACUUUACCAGACAAGCUGAGAGGAGGUGCAUGGCCGUCGCCAGCUCGUGCCGUGAGGUGUCCUGUUAAGUCAGGUAACGAGCGAGAUCCCUGCCUCUAGUUGCUACCAUUAUUCUCAGGAGUAGUGGAGCUAAUUAGAGGGACCGCCGUCGCUGAGACGGAGGAAGGUGGGGGCUACGGCAGGUCAGUAUGCCCCGAAACCCUCGGGCCACACGCGGGCUGCAAUGGUAAGGACAAUGAGUUUCGAUUCCGAAAGGAGGAGGCAAUCUCUAAACCUUACCACAGUUAUGAUUGAGGGCUGAAACUCGCCCUCAUGAAUAUGGAAUCCCUAGUAACCGCGUGUCACUAUCGCGCGGUGAAUACGUCCCUGCUCCUUGCACACACCGCCC